CCUACGGGUGGCUGCAGUGAGGAAUAUUGGUCAAUGGGCGGGAGCCUGAACCAGCCAAGUAGCGUGCGGGAUGAAGGCCCUACGGGUCGUAAACCUCUUUUGCCCGGGGGUAACACCCUCCACUUGUGGAGGUCUGCAGGUACCGUACGAAUAAGGGCCGGCUAAUUCCGUGCCAGCAGCCGCGGUAAUACGGAAGGAGCGAGCGUUAUCCGGAUUCAUUGGGCUUAAAGGGAUCGUAGGCGGGAGUUCAAGUCAGCGGUAAAAUUGCGCGGCUCAACCGCGCCCAGCCGUUGAAACUGGUUGUCUUGAGUUAACAAGAGGUAGGCGGAAUGCGUGGUGUAGCGGUGAAAUGCAUAGAUAUCACGCGGAACCCCGAUUGCGAAGGCAGCAUGCCGGGGCUCGACUGACGCUGAGGCACGAAGGUGUGGGUAUCAAACAGGAUUAGAUACCCCUGUAGUC
Molecule: ribosomal RNA, 459 nt
Filed under: uncultured bacterium
Lineage: Bacteria
Description: partial 16S ribosomal RNA
Rfam family: Bacterial small subunit ribosomal RNA
Source: RNAcentral